UGCCUCCCUUUGUAUUCCCGUGCAGUCAGUGUGGCAGGGCUGUGUCCUUCCUGGAAGUGCUUUGGGAUACCCUGAGCAGAGAGCAGCUGCUGUGACCCCACUGGUGCACCCUGACCAUCAGACCCCUCAGACCUGAGGUUCAGCCUUAUUUCCCUGAAGAAAUGAUGUUUUGGCAGCAGUCCCUGCCUGAGGAAACCCUUCCCUCUCUGCCUCUGCUGCAUCUGGAGACCUUGUGAGGACCUUGGAGCACGAAGGUCUUUGGACAUCUCAGCAAUGGAGAAUUUUGUCUCCAAAAUUCCUGAUCUAUUUUUGAAAUAUGGCCAUGAUGUGAGUGUGAUUUGAGGGAGGAAAAACUUAUCCAGAACUCAGCACUUCUGGAGGUCUCAGAUGAGGACAGAUCACUUGACAAUUCUACUACAGACAACAGCUCUGGACACUCUGUGCAGCUCAUACAGAGGAGGACUUGGCUCAGCCUUCCCUAAAUUUGCCUUGAAUGCAACAUCCGUGCUUGAUCAUAGCUGGAGCUUCCUCUCAUCAAAGGCAAUAUUCAUUUCUCCAGGCUGCUACAGCAUAAACAAAGCCCAUUUGAGAGGAGCUGCUCCGGAGGUGCCUUUGGGUGCUGUCUCCAGUCCUGCAGUCUCAGCAGACACGGCGCAGAACCUCCGCGUGGUCACGGCAGCACCGCGGAGCUCGCUGGACACAAACCCCAUCACCCCCGGGUGCACAGCAGCACUGGGGGCUGUGGGAUGAAGACAAGCUCUGGACACACUCCCAGCCCUGCCACUGCUGCUGGCACCCUUCGCAAGGAGUGUUUUUGGGACGGAGAUCCCACAGAGGUGUACGAGCAGCACCUGAGCCGUGCAGGUGGGGACUGCGAGCUCGCCAGGUGUCCCCAGGAGCCAGCAGGGGUUUCUACAGGAGGGGUUCGCUCUGGGGGCCCCCCGGGCUCCCCAGCACCCUCAGGGCUGGCUGCAGGUGGUGCGGCAGACACCCGGCAGCCCAUUGUAAAGCAAAUUAAUUCUCCCCGUGCUCUCGGGGAGGCUUGGCAGCGGCAGGGAGGAAAGCAGCUGCUCCGGGACUCACAACCCCUUUUGAUUUCAUUUGUCUGAUUUUAGCAGCAUGGGAGGGACACGUCAGCCACGGGGACAUCCCGCUGGCCGGAAUGCUGAGGUUGCCGUGGGUGAGCUCACAGCUUCUCCUCCUGGACAUCUUCCUCUCACCUCAGACAGGUUUUUAUUCUCCUGCUCCCUUUGGAGCAAACCCAGUGGUUUCACUGUCAAAGGACAGUGCUCGAUGGAUGAAUCCACCUUUUUUACCUAACAGGGUAAAACACGGUGUUUUUGACAACAAAUGGUGUUUUCUUGGAUGGAAACAACCAGUCCAAAUGGCUUCUGCUGGGUUUAGCAGCCUGUUUGGAGGGUCUGCCCUGGCGAGAGGGGUGUCAAGAGAGUAAACUCGGUGUUCAGCUGAUGGUUUGUGUUGCAGAGACUCUCGUUCAGAUGAUUUGUGGGUACACCGUAUGACUCAUGCAAGAUCUUCUCAGGUGGAAGAGAAACAGCUGGGAUGUGUUGGGAAGGCAAUGAAAAUUGGCACACAGAGAGUGUGGAUUACUGUGAGCUCAAACAAGUGCUGCAUUCUAUUGCCGUGGUAACUGAGAAUGUCAGUAUAUUUCACAUGGAAAAACUAUAUGCUGUCCUUAGCCAGUGCAUUUACCAACAUCGGGAAGAUGGUGACAAAAAUGAAUUAGCAAAGGCAAUGAAGAAAGAAAUUACAGCCUUCAGUUAUCCAUGAUACUCGAUUUCAGCAUACUUGACACACUCUGUAAUGUUUUCUUUUUAUUGCAUGCUGUUCUUUCUUUGCAUUGCUCAAUAAAUACUAGAUCUACAUAUAUAUUUGUUGAGGG
This 1903-nucleotide long non-coding RNA is filed under the name Chloebia gouldiae (Gouldian finch). RNAcentral describes it as "Erythrura gouldiae (Gouldian finch) lncRNA (ENSEGOG00005019021.1)". The record is from RNAcentral. Lineage: Eukaryota; Metazoa; Chordata; Aves; Passeriformes; Passeridae.